AGUGAACGCUGGCGGUAGGCCUAACACAUGCAAGUCGAACGGCAGCACAGUAAGAGCUUGCUCUUACGGGUGGCGAGUGGCGGACGGGUGAGGAAUACAUCGGAAUCUACUUUUUCGUGGGGGAUAACGUAGGGAAACUUACGCUAAUACCGCAUACGACCUACGGGUGAAAGCAGGGGAUCUUCGGACCUUGCGCGAUUGAAUGAGCCGAUGUCGGAUUAGCUAGUUGGCGGGGUAAAGGCCCACCAAGGCGACGAUCCGUAGCUGGUCUGAGAGGAUGAUAGGCCACACUGGAACUGAGACACGGUCCAGACUCCUACGGGAGGCAGCAGUGGGGAAUAUUGGACAAUGGGCGCAAGCCUGAUCCAGCCAUACCGCGUGGGUGACGAAGGCCUUCGGGUUGUAAAGACCUUUUGUUGGGAAAGAAAAGCAGCAGGUUAAUACCCCGCUGUUCUGACGGUACCCAAAGAAUAAGCACCGGCUAACUUCGUG
Molecule: ribosomal RNA, 492 nt
Filed under: uncultured bacterium
Lineage: Bacteria
Description: partial 16S ribosomal RNA
Rfam family: Bacterial small subunit ribosomal RNA
Source: RNAcentral